Chelonoidis abingdonii (Abingdon island giant tortoise) is the source of this 348-nucleotide non-coding RNA. The record is from RefSeq and is a predicted model, not a curated record. NCBI's taxonomy places the organism in Eukaryota, Metazoa, Chordata, Testudines, Testudinidae.
UGGAAGAUGUGUGGAGCACUGUCCUUUUUCUUUCAAAAAUGCAAAAAAACAAAAUCCCCUCUUCCCUCCCCUCCCCUGAUGAAGGCAGAGCUGCUUGGGUAACAAUUAUUUCACCAAAAAAGCAGUGAGGAGUCUGGAUGGGCAGUAAGAAUCCUCACCUGACACCUAUGUGAUAAAGGACCCCUACUCUAUUUUUUCUUCGUUCUUCCUGCCACUGUUGUCUGUAGGAUCUCGGCCAUAUUUGUUGCAGAAGUUGGAAGGUGUGUGGUGACUGAGACAGAGAACUGCUGGAAGCAAGGCCGGCUCCAGCUUUUUUGCCGCCCCAAGUGAUGAAGAAAAAAAAAAGAG